Molecule: long non-coding RNA, 1045 nt
Filed under: Bemisia tabaci
Lineage: Eukaryota; Metazoa; Arthropoda; Insecta; Hemiptera; Aleyrodidae
Description: lncRNA ENSSSA1UGG002426
Source: RNAcentral
AUGAGUGAAAACUUCACUGUACCAUACCCGCCGGUGGGUUUUUACUUUAUUUUUAUACUUCUUUUCUAUGUAUCUAUCAUAUUUUUUCAUGACCUUUUCAGAUGCUCAUGGAUAAAAAACACAUUCUUCUCAGAGCUUCACAAAUAUAGUAUGUCAACAAGUAAGCUUAUCAUGAGUCAUGCAGUUCUAACUCUCAUAUCUCACAUUAAAAGUCUCUUUUACGAUACACACUUUACCACUCGCACUUCUCCUUUCACUCGAAUACAGUCAUUCUUCUGGCAAGAUAUUAACCUAGUCAAUCACUACUAUGAUCGUUUUCAAUUACAAGAGUGUAGCAUUACAGUUAGAAACGUAAGAUCUUCCGAGUCAUAAAAUGAGCUCAGUUUAAGUGAGGCUCCUUAAAUGUUAACUGUAGGUAAAGAAAAUGGGAAAGAAAAAUUUAGCUGCCCAUUGCACCUACGAUCUCGAACAGCAAAAUAACAGACGCUAAUCAAACCUUUCACACUGUCAAGAAAGAAAGCAAUUCCCUCUGUGCGCAUCUGAAAGCUUUUGUUUUUUAUGUGUUUGUAAAUGUAAGAAAAUUAUGGUGUAAAUACUUAAUAUUUUUUAGACUUUGAUCUCGAUUUUUGUGGUAAGUUGAAGUACCGAUGAAUAAACUUGUUAUUAUCUCAAUCGAUUCUUCUUAUUUCAAAGAUUCGUAUACCUACAGACGACGCGGCGCACGGUGGAUCGAGUCCAUAGGAGAGGUCGGACAAAAUUUGGAAACUUUAAACGCUUAUAAUUCCGUUUAUACAAAACUUUGAGGUUCUGAACGUGUUUCUAUUGGUUUCCUCGUAACAUUUUCUUCCAGAUGCACCCCUAAAAAUUUGAAAUGGGACAAAAUAAACAUCAAAAUUUGCAGUUUUAGUCAAAAAUUUCAUGUCCGACCUCUCAAAUUGACUCGAUCCACUGUGCGGCGUUGCCCUCUUUUAUUAUGGAUUUCUAGAAAAGUAGGGAUUUUCAAUUUAUUCCAUUCUAGUAAUAUACCUCUAGUGAGGGUACAAAU